UGUGACUGAUCUAGAGUACAAUGU
Molecule: non-coding RNA, 24 nt
Filed under: Drosophila melanogaster (fruit fly)
Lineage: Eukaryota; Metazoa; Arthropoda; Insecta; Diptera; Drosophilidae
Source: RNAcentral